Molecule: long non-coding RNA, 759 nt
Organism: Gadus morhua (Atlantic cod)
Lineage: Eukaryota; Metazoa; Chordata; Actinopteri; Gadiformes; Gadidae
Exons: 5
Source: RefSeq, a predicted model, not a curated record
GCCUGCGGAGAAAGGGGGCGGGCGGGUGCAGGUUUGCUUAUUUUUUACGGUGAUUCACAGUGAGGUUGGUCGGGUACCUUGGGAUUAAAAGGAGGAGGUAUCGGGUUCUAGACCUCUUUUGGGGGGCAUAGGUAGACUGCACUGCAGACAUUGGGUAUAUUGGGGGGAAAUAAAUGGCUGUGUGGGGUUAGUGUUUAACAGAGGUGAAAAGGCCGGAGCUCACGAGUAGGGUCCAGCUGCAGGCCCGGAGAACAACACUCUGGCGUGACAACGACCCUGGUGCGACCGUAAAACCCCAAGAAGAAGAAGAAGAACCCUGGCGCGACGGAAGUACUCUGGCGUGACGGAAGUGAUUUAUUUUUUUUACACACCGCUAAAUUGGAUACCAAAGAUGAACCAUGGAAUAUGCUUGGUACCUUGCCAUGGAGGCACCAUUUGACUUCACUGUUAAAGACAUGCCUGUCCUCAGAAAAUGGUGGUGCACAGUACUGCUUGAGAACUUCCACCUGGAUGGGCACCGUGCACGGCAGAAGGUUCCCACACUUCAUGGAGGAAGCCAAACAAAUGGUGGCUGGACUACUUCCACCAGUCUUCAGACUGAAGCGAAAAAGAGAAUGAGUUGGAGCUGAUGGCAGUCAGCAUGAAGAAGCUAUAUCUUUAGGCUUCUGUAGAUUAUUUGUUAAAUAAAUUGUGAGGAAACUUUGGUGUGAUUAUUCUUCAAUGUAUAUUUAUAUCAAAUUAUGAUGGUAUACUUUACAA